GGGGUGGUUUGGGAGCAGCAGGGCUUUGUGAUAACCCCAAAGACCCCUCCUCUUUCCACCCCCUGCUGCCUCCUCCCUUCCCGCGGGUGUUCCGCAUUAUGGAGCAAGCCAAGAGGAAGUCCACCAGACGGCUCCGGAGGAUGUCUUCCUGAGCCUCACCUGCCCGAGGCCCCCCACCCGAAGGGAAAGCAGACAAGGACAAGCAAAACCAGCAGGCUCCCGGCCCCCCUCUCCUCCUUCGGCUCCAUUUCCCUCCCAGCCCUCCUCCCAGCCUCCCACCCCACCCCGCUCUGGGCCUCCCUCCCAGCAUCCCUCACGGCUCCCCUCAAAGUCUGCCUUGCUGUAAGAAAGAGCUGUGGUGCCAGGUUAGCACAGGUGCGCACAGCCUGCCCUGGGCUGCAGGGGGUACGGGGCUGGAGGGGUGGGUGUGGCUCUCUGCAGAUUGAGGCCACUCACCUUCGAGACCUGCCGGAGAACCCCCGUGUGUUUCUGUGGAGAAGGGUCCCCUGGAGUCCCGCCUGGGUGGCCCGUGGUCUCAUUGAGCCCUGGCCAUGGAAGCAGCCUCAGAGGAACACCUGCCAUGUCCUGUCAAGGAGAAGCCCUGUGGGUGACCGAAGCGGUGAUGAAGCUGUACUUAUGAAGGUUCCAGGAAGGCCACAACGACCGUCCCUGCCCCCACGCCCUGCCUCCGCUCACAGCAGCGCAGCAUCACGGUGUGGUCGUGUCCCUGGCUGCCACACCCACUCCAUCUGUUUUCCGUGUGGCUGCUCUGAGGCAUCUGCCAGCGUCCUCUGCCCCCCGCUCCCCACCCACUGAGCCUGGUUCUCCCUGUCCCCCGGGACCCUGGUCUGCCUCUUCCAAAGGCUCCUCUUCCUUCUCCCUGCCUGGUGGGUCCCUCAGCCCCAAGCCCGCCUCUCUCCCUCACUCUCCCCUCUGCACCUGCCACCCUUGGGUUUCUCUCUCAUUCCCCCCCCCCCCCCGGCUUUCAACUGGCAUCUUAUUCCAGCCAGGAACUGCCCUGAGCUCCCAACAAUCUAGACUUUUCCAAUGAGUUCUCUCACCCUCCUGAAGCCCAAAGGGAAAUGGGAUCUUCUCCCACCCUCUGGACACAGCUCGUCAGCCCACCAGCUCUGGGGGCUCUUACUGCCAGGGUGGUAGGCAAGGGAAGGCAUGGCUGCAGCAUUGUCAAGAGAAGAACACCUAUUUCCUGAAAAAUAGAAAACUUUGGGAGUUCCCGUCAUGCUUUAGCAGAAACAAAUCUCACUAGUAUCCAUGAGGAUGCAGGUUCGAUCCGUGGCCUGGCUCAGUGGGUUAAGAAUCCUGCAAUGCUGUGGCUGUGGUGUAGGCGGCAGACACAGCUCGGAUCCCUGCAUUGCUGUGGCUGUGGUGUAGGCCGGUGACUACAGCUCCGAUUGGAGCUCCAAUUCGACGCCUAGCCUGGGAACCUCCAUAGGAUGGGUGUGGCCCUAAAAAAAAAAAGAAAACUUUGUAAAUAAAUACAAGUGAUAAAGACA
This 1514-nucleotide long non-coding RNA is filed under the name Sus scrofa (pig). Its description in RNAcentral is "lncRNA (ENSSSCG00065045978.1)". The record is from RNAcentral. Lineage: Eukaryota; Metazoa; Chordata; Mammalia; Artiodactyla; Suidae.